Molecule: ribosomal RNA, 253 nt
Filed under: uncultured bacterium
Lineage: Bacteria
Description: partial 16S ribosomal RNA
Rfam family: Bacterial small subunit ribosomal RNA
Source: RNAcentral
UACGUAGGGGGCAAGCAUUGUCCGGAUUUAUUGGGCGUAAAGAGCUCGUAGGCGGCUUGUCACGUCGGAUGAGAAAACUCGGGGCUCAACCCCGAGCCUGCAUUCGAUACGGGCUAGCUAGAGUGUUGCAGGGGAGACUGGAAUUCCUGGUGUAGCGGUGAAAUGCGCAGAUAUCAGGAGGAACACAGGUGGCGAAGGCGGGUCUCUGGGCAACUACUGACGCUGAGGAGCGAAAGCGUGGGGAGCGAACAGG